UUGAGCCGUAUGCGGGGAAACUCGCACGUACGGUUCUUAGGGGGGGAUGGGUCAGCAAUGACCUGUCCCUACCCGCC
Non-coding RNA from Ralstonia pickettii 12J, 77 nucleotides. The record is from Rfam. Lineage: Bacteria; Pseudomonadati; Pseudomonadota; Betaproteobacteria; Burkholderiales; Burkholderiaceae.